This 3140-nucleotide long non-coding RNA is filed under the name Canis lupus familiaris (dog). Its description in RNAcentral is "lncRNA (ENSCAFG00040006539.1)". The record is from RNAcentral. Lineage: Eukaryota; Metazoa; Chordata; Mammalia; Carnivora; Canidae.
CGUGAUCCUCAGUGGGUCCCCUCCCUCCCCCAGCACAUGAGCUGGGGACAUGACCGCGAGGGAAUGCUGGCUCUCUGGGGGAAGAGCUGCUCCCAGAGGCACGUUCUGCAGACAUCCGCGCGAGGACACCUGGCCUUCCGAUGCAGCACCUGCCUGUACCAGCACCACCGUCCCUCCGGAAGGAGGCACGAGUGGGAGGGAGGUGGCGUUCCCUGUCAACAUCCCAGUCCCCACAAGGAAGUCCUAGUUGGCCAACAAAGGGGAAAGGCAGCCUCAAUCUUCCUCCCCACCAUAUGAAACACCUGCUCUUCGGGUCCAGUUUGCUGCCUACGUUAAGUGCACCAGAAAUUUCCAAUGGAAUGACACCAUGGGUUGGCCAGACUGAGGUAGCUCUUUCUGUUCCUAUUUGUACGAUCUCUGAGAGGACUGUGGGCCUUCCUAUUUGUCACCCACUAUCUUCCUAUCCGCCUGGCCUUGCAGUUUUCCCUGGCACCCAGAGCCGGAGCUCCUACACGGUUCUGAGGUGUGGUAAGGGUGCCGACUGAGCGUCACUGAAGUAGAACAAAAAGCCCGCCUGUACCAUCUGCGGUGGAGAAUUAUAUUAUGUUUGAGCCAGAAGCACCAUACUGCUCGUGUGGCAACAACAUUUAAAUCAAAGCUGGAUGUUUUCGCUCAAUGAGAAACACCCUCUGCCUCUCCCGGCCUGUGGUCGGUCAACAUUUGAGUGGAUCCAAGUCGCUGCCAUAAGUAGAGGUGAAGAGGUGAAGAAGGGGAAAAUACUUAGCCCUCAGCUGCUUGACCAAGAAAGGGCGGGGGACAGGCUUGUGCUGGGAAGGGCAGAGUGAGAUUAGGGGUCAGUAAACUCACGUCUCGGUUUGAGCCCUGGGACCCAAGUCACUCAGUGUUCUCUGAGCCUCUCUUUGCUGUAAAAUGUGCAUGUGAGGGAUCGAUGGUGAAGUUGGCCCCAACUGCCCCUCCCUUGGCUGUACCUACGCCCUGGCUGGUAUGACUUUUCAGCUCUGGCCCUGAGAGGUAGAGCCCAUCUCCCUGCAAACUGCACGGGGGAGGGGGGUUGGGGCAUGUGGCUGGCUCUGGUCCACACAGUGCCACAGCACGACAGGGAGCCAUCUGGGAGGCCGGGCCCUGGAGGGCUGGUCCCCUUGUUCACCUCUGCUCCAUUAUCAUUGCCCGAGAGCCGGCCUGGGCCAGCCUGCUAGGAGAGGAGCUGAGGUGCGUGGCUGGCAGCUCAUGGGGCCCCCCCAGCACUCUGCCCAGUGGCCCACAGCUUUCCACAGAUACAAAGGAGAGAGCAAGUGCUGUGACCACCCGGCCACUCCCAGCCUUCGAUGCCAACCAGCUCAACCCUGAGCUAAAUAGAUGCUGUUUGCAGCUAGUAGAGUCUGGGAUGCUUUGCUCUUCAACAAUAGCUAGCUUAUGCUUGCUCUGUCUCAUAGAUGUCGUGAAGGUCAAACAAAGCCUUGUUUAUUAGAAUCCUUUGUGCAUGAUAAAUGGCGCACAGGUACAAGCUUUUUCACCAACCCCGCAAGUUUUGAUCAGUAUCAAGAUGGAGCAACAUAAACAGCCCCUUCAUUCUGCUCCCCUUUCUGCUCCAACACAUGGAAGAGCUGUUUUUUUUUCUCAUCUGAAUACUUUGGACAACCUCUCGCCUCCCUCAAUCCCUCAACCAGCACUCACUGGCCAGCUGCCAUGUGCCAGGCGCUGUUUCAGGUGCUGAGUAUAUGGGAGCGGGUGGGACAGUGAGGGAAAUAAAUCAAUGUAUACAAUGAAAGUAUUAGAAAGGCUAUGGAGAAGACAAGCAUGGGGAGGAGCAAUCAAGUAAUUGAGCAUCUAGAAGGGGAUAGUGUAGGAAGGAGGUGGCAAUGAGACCAUGAGAACUAAUGGAUGAAAGAAGCCUGAUGGAUGGUCUUUCUCAUCACAAGCUUGGAACUGCCAAGCCCCUCAGGGUCCGGUGCUUUGAUAACGAGCUGGUGGGCAUGUUAUUUGCUCACCAUUUAAUUUUACUGGUGGUAUCUCGCCAAUGCCUGACAUCACUGUAUUGCUUAUCUGGAAAUAAAGAGGCUUAGAUGUGUAUUAAUGAUGUAUUGCUGUGCCAAUGUUACCCCAAAACUUAGUGGAAUAAAAUGUAAAUGGUAUAAAUAGUUGGUGGCUCGGUUGGGCUCCCUGCUCAGUGGAGAGUCUGCUUCUCUCUCCCUCUGCUCCUCCCCCUGCUCGUGCUCUCUCUCACUCUUAUUCUCUCCCUCAAAUAAAUAAAUAAAAUCUUUAUAAAUAAAUGAAUAAAAUGCAAAUGUCAUUUAUGAUCUCAUACAGUGUCUGCAGGUCAGGAAUUUGAGAGCAGUGUGGCUGGUUCUAAUUUCCCUCUUGUCAUUGUGGUCAGGUGUUGGCUGGGACUGCAGUCAUCUGAAGGAUCAAGCAGGGCCAGAGGCUGCCCUCCUGAAGUGGCGGGAUCCCCGGUUCCUCCCCCAUGGACCUCUCCACAUGGCUGCUUGAGGGUCUUCUUGACACGGUGGCCAGCAGCCCAGAGCAGGAGGUUUGAGAGACCGGGGAGGAAGCUGGUACAUCCUUCCUGAGUGGCCUUGCAUGUCACACACCAUAUACACACCAGCCAUGAUUCAUCACAGGACUAGUGGAUGACAGGAGGACAGGGUCUUGGGGAUUGGCUACCAGAGUAAAGUCUCAUUUCUCUAAAAAAGCAAAUGACAUCGGUUACUGCUGGGGGCAGGUGGAUGUAAGUCAGAUCACUCAUGUCUCAUGCAGUUCCUCUCGUCAGAGGAGGUGUGCAACCUAAGUGUCUGGCUCCUUGUCUGUAUAUGGGUGACAUGAGAAUCAGGUCCACAGCUUGAUAAGGGCCCCUUUCUCUCCCUCCUCUUAGCUGUCUCCUAGCUGCUUGGUGGCAUGCACUGGGGCAGUUGUUAAAGAGGGUACUUGGAUUAUCAGAGACUUUGCCUGCUACCCUUUGAGUAAGUACACGCUGGAGACAACUCUGCUCAGGAUGACACCACGUCCAGUGCAGAGGCAAGCAGACCUGCUGACCUGGCGUCCACCUGUGCCCCACUCCUGGUGUUUGCUGUUUAAAAGUUAAUGCCCACUGCAAAGUGGGUGCUUCUUGCGGUUCAUCUUUG